UUGUCUCCAAAAGCAUAAACAGAACCUUUGUGCUUUUGGCGGCAAAAACACCGAUGAGCUGAUACCCACGUGAGUUGACGAGUCGAUCUUAAGAGAGCAGAGCUGAGUAUUCACGUAACAAAAUGGCAACUUCUCUCCGGUCCAGUGUAAAAGAAAUUCCUGCUCGACAGAGGGUGCAGCUAUCAAGGACUCACAGUAGCGGUUUUCAUGACCAAAAAAGUUCUCCCCUAGGGCGCUUUUCUCCCGUCAACGACUGCUUUAACCUCACGUGGUAUUUUACCGUGCCUACAGUAUGGAACAAAUCUAGGAGCAAUGUUUAAAACGCAUGGAAGGCAACUAUAAAGAUGUGGCAAAUAUGACCUGUCAUAAAAAGUCAAGCAGUGUCACCGCACUUGGCUGCAAAACUCAACAAAAAUAAACGAGCUGCUCUGUGAGCAGAUACUCACUAUGAAGAAGUAAUGGAACUCGGACUUUUCGGGUCGUCGCCCCUGAGAGUCAUCCUUUCUCAAGCUGGGAGCCUAGGUAACACGUGUAUUAGAUUUCCCCUUGUGCGUAAAAGCAGUGGGAAAAAAGUUGGACUCCACACGGGGCUCAAGAAAACAUCUAAACAAUGUUUGCUGUCUUUAGGCAAUCCUGUCGUCUGCAGGUUAUUCUUGUUUUAUUUCUUUUACAAAAUACGAGGCCUUACCCUGAAACAGGAGGUGUUUCUGCCUAUUGCCUAUCUAUCCUUUGAUAACAUUAUUGAGGCAAAGGUUCAUCCAAUCAAACUGUUGGGUAAAGAAAUAUAGUCCUAGAUAUUAUGUCAUCACAUGAGGUGUAAAAACACCUUUCUGUCAUGGUCAGGGCUUUGUGAUAACCCUGACCCACAUUUUAGACAAGCAUAAUAAAUUUGCUAUCUUUAUCACACUUUAUCAAGUUAAUUAACACUCACCAGAAUCUUGAGCUUGAAGAUUCCUCCGCCAGAGAAACUGCAGCAAAGCCACUAGGGAAAGAAUAAUCACAUGAGAAUCAGUAGGCUGAUUCAAUUAGGCUGCAAAAUAGAGAAGGAAGACACGGAAUUGCUAUCCUCCCCGGACAGAUGGCUCAAUGAGUAUCAAGUUUUGGGCUAAAACGUGACUUAGUAGCAUGAGAUGUUGUUAUCGGCAAUAUUGUUUUCUGUUACCGUUUUUGUUUACUUUUUGCUGUCUGCCAAUCGACAAUUUCUUCAAUCAGAUUGAUGAGUGGAAUAGAUCAUGUGAGCUAAAAAUAAAUAAGUAUAAUUGAAAUAAUCCUAUAUGUACUGUUGGAUUUGGUCCACAAUUAUCCAACUCACUGCGUGCUCGUUUUAUUUCUUUGUUUUUUAGGACAAAAAUAAGACACCGUAAUAAAAAAUUGGUUGAGUUGAGUCAAACCAAUUGAGUCAAACGGGUUGGUUGAUUUCAAUCACAGUUCCGACUUGUGAUCAAGCUACAUUUAGCAAUUUCAUUAAUACUCAAUUUGUUUAAUGUUUCCUGACAAUUUUUGUCUAUUUUCCAUGCAUACCGCGCUUUUGUUUGUUCUUUUCAUAUUCCAUGCAGUUGUUUACUUUCGUCUCAUUCUCAGUUAAUCAUGCUUUCAACCGUAUCUUUUCUUUGUUAGGCAAAACAUUUCCCUCUGUCUAGAACGGAUCUCUCCGGCCGCUCUCAAUUUAUCCAGUUCAAAUCAUCUCAUCCCUCCCCGCUGUCCUCUGAUGUUCCCCAGGGCUCUGUCUUUGGUCCAAUCUUAUUUAUCGUUUACCUCCUCCCACUUGGUUUGAUUUUCCGAAAACACAUCAACUUUCACUGCUACGCGGACGACACCCGGCUCUACGUCUCCUCCAAACCCCCUUCCACUCCUGGAUGACCUACCUGGCAGCUUGACCCGCUUGUCUUCAUCGCCAAUUGUCCAGAUAUAAACCAUCAUGUCCAUCCCACCAGUGGCAAAGUGCUCAUUAUCAGGUGCCCAGGCUAAGCUAACUGGUUUUGCAUGGUGCCCAUAAAACUCAUUUUUGACCUUGAACAAAAUAGCAGGGAGAGGGCAGAGGUUAGCUUUGAAACCUGUGGAUAAUUGAUUUUAAAAAAGACAAUAAUUACCGAGUAGCCAUCUGCCACACUGAAGGCUGUGGCCACCCUUUUGUCAUCUAUGACUGCCAAAUAGGCUCCAUUAUCAGAGUAACCCAUAUCUGUAAUGGCGCCUUUAACCGCAAUGGUUUUUCCCUCAUCCUUUAGAGUAUUGCCUUGCACCGAGUACAGACGAAUUGUACCAUCCUGCGGAAAAGAAGAGGGAGAGCAUAGGUGAGUCCUCCUUUACCAAGAGCAAUUAAGAGGUGACAGGAAUCUGUUCACAUGCAGUGCUUUUGCUUCCUGGACACAUACACCAAAGCCCAUUUGUGCAACCAAGCAGCUCAGAACAACCAUUAGCUAAACCACCAGCUGUCUUGUUUCGUCAGUUCAGGCUGGAUAAAUGAACCGCUCUGGCGAGUCUAUUUGUGACCGCCAAUUCUUAGAUGUUCACUUACUGUCCCCCCUACAGCGGCAGUGCUCCCUGCUGGAUUGAGAACUCCAACUUCGGGUUCGUAGUCAAGGUUUUCCAGUGUGAAGACAUUUCGCUUGUCCUUCUGUAAGACUACCUGGAAAAAGCAACAAAGUUUAAUGGAUUUGUUCAUUUCGAGUCUAACAUUAAACUCUAAUGUACAGAC
Long non-coding RNA from Syngnathus typhle (broad-nosed pipefish), 2695 nucleotides. RefSeq lists it as uncharacterized. Lineage: Eukaryota; Metazoa; Chordata; Actinopteri; Syngnathiformes; Syngnathidae. The record is from RefSeq and is a predicted model, not a curated record. The transcript is spliced from 2 exons.